UACGUAGGGGGCAAGCGUUGUCCGGAAUCAUUGGGCGUAAAGCGCGUGUAGGCGGCCCGGUAAGUCCGCUGUGAAAGUCGGGGGCUCAACCCUCGAAUGCCGGUGGAUACUGUCGGGCUAGAGUGCGGAAGAGGCGAGUGGAAUUCCUGGUGUAGCGGUGAAAUGCACAGAUAUCAGGAGGAACACCAAUUGCGAAGGCAGCUCGCUGGGACGUGACUGACGCUGAGACGCGAAAGCGUGGGGAGCAAACAGG
This 253-nucleotide ribosomal RNA is filed under the name uncultured bacterium. Its description in RNAcentral is "partial 16S ribosomal RNA". It matches the Rfam family "Bacterial small subunit ribosomal RNA", at positions 524 to 776 of the family's 1533-position model. The record is from RNAcentral.